CCUACGGGAGGCAGCAGUAGGGAAUAUUGCUCAAUGGGGGAAACCCUGAAGCAGCAACGCCGCGUGGGGGAUGAAGGUUUUCGGAUCGUAAACUCCUUUUGUUAGAGAAGAUAAUGACGGUAUCUAACGAAUAAGCACCGGCUAAAUCCGUGCCAGCAGCCGCGGUAAUACGGAGGGUGCAAGCGUUACUCGGAAUCACUGGGCGUAAAGAGCGCGUAGGCGGGAUUGCAAGUCAGAUGUGAAAUCCUAUGGCUUAACCAUAGUACUGCAUUUGAAACUGUUAUUCUAGAGUAUGGGAGAGGUAGGUGGAAUUCUUGGUGUAGGGGUAAAAUCCGUAGAGAUCAAGAGGAAUACUCAUUGCGAAGGCGACCUGCUAGAACAUAACUGACGCUGAUGCGCGAAAGCGUGGGGAGCAAACAGGAUUAGAUACCCCAGUAGUC
Molecule: ribosomal RNA, 440 nt
Filed under: uncultured bacterium
Lineage: Bacteria
Description: partial 16S ribosomal RNA
Rfam family: Bacterial small subunit ribosomal RNA
Source: RNAcentral